UCCACAAGAAGCUGGUGGAGCAGAGUGUU
Molecule: non-coding RNA, 29 nt
Filed under: Homo sapiens (human)
Lineage: Eukaryota; Metazoa; Chordata; Mammalia; Primates; Hominidae
Source: RNAcentral